UUGCCGUCGCUCAAACGCGCCUUUGCGAGGCAAGCGAUGGGCCUCGGGCCGGGGGUGACGGGACUGCUCGCCGGACAAGGGCUGCACCGGUCCGGGUGACGCCCCGAAGGCGCUGCGGCGCCCGAGCCGGUUCGCGCCGCCCUGACGAUUGCGCGAUUCGGGGCUCAGGCCACGCUGUUGUUGCAACUCCGAAUUUUCGUUUCGCUU
This 207-nucleotide unclassified non-coding RNA is filed under the name plant metagenome. Its description in RNAcentral is "partial contains 5.8S ribosomal RNA, internal transcribed spacer 2, and large subunit ribosomal RNA". The record is from RNAcentral.